Long non-coding RNA from Mirounga angustirostris (Northern elephant seal), 4497 nucleotides. RefSeq lists it as uncharacterized. The transcript has 4 exons. NCBI's taxonomy places the organism in Eukaryota, Metazoa, Chordata, Mammalia, Carnivora, Phocidae. The record is from RefSeq and is a predicted model, not a curated record.
ACAGAAGGGCUAUUCGAGACUCAACCCAACCGACAGGGGUCAGUAGCUCCUGGACCCAGCUCCACCUGACUAAUCUCCAGAAAGCGGGCGGGCACACUCAGGACGUGCUCUCCGGCUGGCAAGAGAUUUUAUUUAUUCGAGAGUGAGUGAGAGGACGAGAGCGGGGUGAGGAGCAGAGGGAGAAGCAGACUCCCCACUGAGCAGGAUCAUGACCUGAACCGAAAGCAGCCGCUUAACUGACUGACUGAGCCACCCAGGCGCCCCUUGAGUCCCAUUUCUGUGACAAGACCAGGAACUUUCCAAGAAGCAGGCAAAAUAAAUGAAGGGGAAGCAAGAGGUUAAUACGGCAUCAUGCUUCAGUUACUCCUCUACAGAUGAACCCCAGGGAAAUCAUGGUAGCCAGUGGGACCAACAGUUUUACUAAUAAGAGGAACGUGUGGUAGGAGCAAGGGUGACCUACACACUGUAUGGAAUGAUGAUGCGUCAGGAGCACCUCAGGACCUAAAAGCCCACUGCAGGGAUCAGACCCAUCAAACUGCCAGGGAGAGUCUAAUGGAAGAAUCGUCCUGGUACUCCAAGGAAAGAGUCCAGUCCCAGGGCUCCUGCAGCCGGACUCGGGGAGGUGUUGCCGGUAGUGGUGACUUCGGAAAGGUGUGCCAUGGGGACAGUAUGCCAUUUCCAAUGUCUGUGCCUUUAAAAUAUUUUAUUACUGGUCCAAAUGUCUGAAGACAUUUUAAAUGGGAAGGAAAAACAUUAUUUCCUGGACUGAAAUUCUCUGGAUCUUUAGAUUCUGUUCCUGCCCAGGUGUGGGAGAGGGUAUCUGUCAAUAGGUCGGAUCUAAGCUGGAAGGCUCCUGUCAUUAUUAAUGCAGCUUAGCCAUCUCUAGGAAAAAGGCAGCAAAUAAUUUGGAUCCCUCUAUGUAGUUCCACCUAACAAAGGAAAAAAUAAAGAGAAACACUUAUUUCCAUUCAAAUGAUGGGGAAAAGUAGCCUACCAUGUAAAUAGGAAGAUUUGGUGAUGUGAAUGCAAUCUAAAGUACGUAGCACAUCGGAAGGUUAUGAUGUGGAGACCCGGGGUCUGUGCAGUGAAGGACUGGCCCCCCACAGGAAUCCACUAACCUGUUGAUUUUCUCAUUCUGAGAGUGCUCCCCGUCAUCAACAGCGCCCAGCGGGAACAUCAUCACACUCUUUUGGAUGGUAUCCUGGAAUAUUCUGGCAAUUGGUAUGGUUGAUCCAUCCCGGAUCAUGUCUGGCUCUGUUCCAAACACUGAAGCACAGGGAAAGAAGGCAUUUGAAUAAAAUAACGACAAGACUACCCCGAGUCAUCUUCUCAAAUGUAGUGUUUGCUUUAUCUUUCCCUUUUUCUUUUUCUUUUUCUUUUUUAUUUAACCCUUAAAUUUGGUGCCUGGGGUAAGUAAGCUUCUUGAUACCAUGCAGUUUAUAUUCUAAAAUAGUCAAUAGAGUCAGGUUGCAUUCUUUACAAUUACCUACUUCAAAAAAAAAAUAAUUUUUAUUGUGAAUUAUAGAUUUUAUAGAAAAGUUGCAAAAAAAGUACAGAGAGAGUUCCCAUAUGUUCCUUACUUUACUUUCUGUAAUGUUAACAUCUUAUAUAACUAUUGUACAGUUAUAAAGAAUAGGAAGUUAACAUCAGAAUAAUAUCAUUAACUCGAUUCAGACCUUAUUUAAAUUUCACCAAUCCUUCCCUUUUGCCAUUCCAGGAUCCAAUCCAGAAUCCCACACUGUGUUUUGUCACUGCUUCUUACUCUCCUCUGGUCUGUGACAGUUUCUCAGCCUCUCCUUGUCUUUCAUGACCUUGACCCUCUUGAAGAGUACUGAGCAGUUGUUUUGUAAAGUGUCUCUUCAUUUGGGUUUGUUUGAUAUUUUCUCAUGAUUGGAAGAGGUCAUGCAUUUCUGGCACAAGCAUUAGAAGACAAUGUACCUCCUUUUAUGGUUGCUUCAUGAAUUAAAUAUUUGGAAAGUGGGACUUCUUUGGUUUUGUAACCAGUAUACAAAUAAACAGCUGUACUCAACUAUCACCUGAAUGGUGCAGGGUUUGUGCUCUACUGUCAAGGUAUCCCAGGAAAUAGCUUUAAUGGAUAUCCUAGGGCCUAAGGAGCGAUGACUUCAAACCUUCCAGGCAAGAAGUUGAGUUGUCAGUGAUGGAGGAGAGAUGCAAAAUAAAAUGAAGACACGAAUGAUAUCAUGCCGUGUCUUUAUCCACAGAGCAACGUGUGAACGUGAGGAAAGAUGAUGUACCUCGUUGGAAGAACUGGUUUCACAGAGAAUAAACCAAAAGGUGCCUUAUGCAUUCCUGUAAGAGUAUCUCAGGUCUUUACUGUUGACCUUGACAUUUCAAUCACACAUCACUCUUCAGCUGGGAUUACAUUUACCUUCCUAAUAACUUUUCUUCCUCCGUUCUUGACUUCCAAAUUUUACUGGUAAAAUACUGCUACAGCUGGGACCAGGAGGAAUGAUCAUGCAGAGAAGUAGGGCUCUAAGUCUCAGACCUGUCCUCUAACUUUUAAUGUCUCUGUCCUUUGUACAGAUAACCCUGAUAAGAUGUUAGUGCUGCCAGAUGGUCUGGACCUCCAGUCCCAGCUCUGCUCUGUUAGGGAUGCGGCCUGAGGCCUCAUCUGCGAUAGAGUACCACUUACUUUGUAAACUUGGGAAGGCUGUGGGGAGAGGUCAGGAGACUGUGAAGAGCCCUGGGCAGAGCUGUUGACUCUCAGUAACAGAGCCUCUCUGAAAAGGAGAGCUAAACCGAAAUUCUGAAUGAGCCCGCUUUCUCCACUGCCCCGCCAGGCACCGAGCCCUGGAACCACUGAAAACUGGCAACUCGAGGCAUCGCACGUCUAACCUGUUUUGAUGGCUCUCUUUGCUGCAAGAUACUGUUUAUCUUUAAUAUUUGCGAUCCAUGGCUGUAGUCCUAGCGUCAUAGAAACAGCCAUCUGGUUGGAACUAUUUCUUUUGGAGAAUAUAUAUUCAAGAUGCUGCUUCACCUGAAAAGGAACAUUUUCAGUGGUAAGAGAAAAUUUCAAGUUAUUCUCCCAUGUAGUAGUCUUUCAUCAAGAAACUGAAAUCCCAGCCCAACAAAUUCGAGUGUCGUGAUUUUACCCUCAUUCUCGCAGAGGGCCUCUGGGACUGAGAGCUUCAGCAGUGAGAGAAACACUGGUCUCACGCCCCUUCUAUCUGUGGACCCUCCAUUCCUCAGCCCUGCGCCCACCCCAUCCUGACCACAGUGUCAGAUUUCUAAUGUUUGGUAAUUAUGAAACACAAUACAACUUCUCAAUUUGAAUAUCCUUCUUUUCGGACUUGUACCUUAAUGACUAUUUUGGGAAUAUUAGACAUUUGUUAAUUCCUGAAAGGGGGGGGGGGCAAUUCCAAACUAGGCUAUAAUGGAGCCUUUUGUCAGCAUCCUUCUCUGUCCCCUGGGCUCCAUUCCAGUGGCCACCAUGGAAAUCCUCCCAAGAAAAAUUCCACACUCUGAAAUAUUCCGCCCAUUCAUUCCUUUGACAAUUGUUGAAUGCCUGUCAUGUUGGCAUGAAUGUUUCUAGGUGCUGGGAUCACAGCUGUGAGCAAGACCGGGGUGGGGCUGGGGCUGGGGGCUCCCCUGGUGGAAUCCGUAUGUUGUAAGAAAGAGAAACAAUACAUCCAAAAUGGGAGGGCGGGUGGGGAGAAAACAGGGACAGAGACAGGAAGGAGGGCAUUUUAGGAUGUAAUUAGCGCUAAGAAGACAAUAAAAGAGGUCAAUGGCAGAUAGAGAUUUGGGAUGAGGUGUUCUUGGAGCUCAUUUAUUCAGAGCCUACUUUCUGUUGAACUUGAGGUAAACUGAUGAUAGUUUGAUAAUUUAGACAUAAAACUCCUUCCAGAUAACAUUUUCAUUGAAGUGGCUGCUUUCAGAGAGUUGACUGCAGACCCCAAGGGCAAACUAACUAUGGGUUUGAGCAUUUCCAGCUCCAUCCCGCCGUAGGCAGUCAGUUUCCCCAUCUGUGUGUAAACCAAUCUUGCCUUUAUGUCAACUGUUUAAUGUAAAACUACGUCCCAUCACUCCAGCCCCAAACAGUUAUUUAUCUGACUACUGUAAUUGCAUAUAAUUACGGAAAGAGAUUUUUACGGAACAAAAAUUAUAUUGGUUUCUUGACAUUUGUUCCAGUCCCUUUCAUAUUCGGGGAAAAAAAUGGAACUUCAGUGCUAACAACCGAAUAGCUCACUACCCUGGGAUGCGACACUCGAAACGUGCCGUAGUGAGAACAAUGCAAAUGUGUUACCUGUUUUUCCACCACAGAUGUAUUCAUGUGAGGGACCAGACGGAUUGAAAAUUUUCCUAUAACUUGGCCAGGGAUGACCGUUUUAGCUCCAGGCUCAUCAAAUGCGCCCUCAAUCCCAUGGAUUGAAAGAGAUGGGUACCUCCAUAGGUGCAUUAGAAUCUCCUCCUGAAUUCAAAUAAAAUUAUUUUACUAUAUAAAAGAUUGUUCCAUUAAAACUCUGUUGAAUUGCA